Molecule: transfer RNA, 58 nt
Filed under: Burkholderiaceae bacterium
Lineage: Bacteria; Pseudomonadati; Pseudomonadota; Betaproteobacteria; Burkholderiales; Burkholderiaceae
Description: tRNA-Thr
Rfam family: tRNA
About the family: Transfer RNA (tRNA) molecules are approximately 80 nucleotides in length. Their secondary structure includes four short double-helical elements and three loops (D, anti-codon, and T loops). Further hydrogen bonds mediate the characteristic L-shaped molecular structure. tRNAs have two regions of fundamental functional importance: the anti-codon, which is responsible for specific mRNA codon recognition, and the 3' end, to which the tRNAs corresponding amino acid is attached (by aminoacyl-tRNA synthetases). tRNAs cope with the degeneracy of the genetic code in two manners: having more than one tRNA (with a specific anti-codon) for a particular amino acid; and 'wobble' base-pairing, i.e. permitting non-standard base-pairing at the 3rd anti-codon position.
Source: RNAcentral
AGCUCAGUUGGUAGAGCACCCGCCUUGUAAGCGGAAGGUCUUCGGUUCGAUUCCGAAA